This 253-nucleotide ribosomal RNA is filed under the name uncultured bacterium. RNAcentral describes it as "partial 16S ribosomal RNA". It matches the Rfam family "Bacterial small subunit ribosomal RNA", at positions 524 to 776 of the family's 1533-position model. The record is from RNAcentral.
AACGUAGGGGGCAAGCGUUAUCCGGAUUUACUGGGUGUAAAGGGAGCGUAGGCGGCGAUGCAAGUCAGAAGUGAAAGCCCGGGGCUCAACUCCGGGACUGCUUUUGAAACUGUGUUGCUAGAUUGCAGGAGAGGUAAGUGGAAUUCCUAGUGUAGCGGUGAAAUGCGUAGAUAUUAGGAGGAACACCAGUGGCGAAGGCGGCUUACUGGACUGUAAAUGACGCUGAGGCUCGAAAGCGUGGGGAGCAAACAGG